Molecule: transfer RNA, 72 nt
Filed under: Muntiacus reevesi (Reeves' muntjac)
Lineage: Eukaryota; Metazoa; Chordata; Mammalia; Artiodactyla; Cervidae
Also listed under: 1 other name
Rfam family: tRNA
About the family: Transfer RNA (tRNA) molecules are approximately 80 nucleotides in length. Their secondary structure includes four short double-helical elements and three loops (D, anti-codon, and T loops).
Source: Rfam by way of RNAcentral
UCCUGGGUAGCUUAGUGGUAAAGAAUCUGCCUGCCAAUUCAGGAGACACAGGUUCCAUUCCUGGUUCGGGAA